GUAAACCUUUUGACUUUAAUUGAUCAACGUGCUGGAUCCUUCUCAUCAACCGACUCGGGGGAUCGGAGAUCCCGACAGAAGUGUUGAAUGACGAUAAACUGAAGGGUGAAGCCUUGAAUGACGAUAAACUGAAGGGUCCACGGUUACCUAACCCUUCGAACACAGUUCAGUGCACUAACCCCUGGGCGCCAACAAAUCGUGUUUGGCACCAAAGGUGGAGAUGGGGACCUCCAGCCACAACGACGUGGACCUCAGCUGGAUCCCUCAGGAGACCCUCAACCAGAUCAUGCAGAGUCGCAGAGACAAAGCGUCUCCCAGAAGAUCUCCUCGCAAGAGGAACCAGAAACGCUCAGCCGGCUCGGACGAGUGACGGUCGCCAUGGCGACGGUCCACAGAGGACGGAUGAAGACGGGACGAGUGGGGACUCGUUCCACUGAGAGACUUUAAACACACAGGGAUCAUGU
Gasterosteus aculeatus aculeatus (three-spined stickleback) is the source of this 464-nucleotide long non-coding RNA. Lineage: Eukaryota; Metazoa; Chordata; Actinopteri; Perciformes; Gasterosteidae. The record is from Ensembl.